GCGGGGCAGCGGCGGCCCCGUCCAGCCGCACUCACCUCCUGAAGUCAAAGGGCAUGGUGCUGGUUGUGGCGGGCGCCGGGCAGGCUGAGGGCCCCGCCGCCCCCGGGCCCGGCUCUCGCCUCGCUGCCGCCGGCUGCAGGGCCAGGAAAUGACGGCCCCGCCGCCGCGCAGCGCUCAGCCCAUUGGGCGGCUGGGGCCGGCCGCCGCUUCCGCCGCCGGGUUACGGGCAGCGGCGGGAGUCGGGGAGGCCCCGGGCUGCUGCGCCUUCAGAGCCGCGUCCCCACGUCAGGGUUCGAAGUGCCGCCCGCCAGCAGCGCUGCCUGCGGGCUGACACGCACCGCGCUGGUGCUGGAUGAACCCACUUGGUGCCGGCCUGGCUCUUUGACUUUCUUUUGCAAACCUUUCUGCGUUUUUAUUGGAGGACAAAGAGUUAAAGUGAGAAAAAGCUCCCUGUUUUACAGGCAAGACGUUUCCCUAUCACCUGAGCCCCUCUGAUCUGCUGUCUUGCCGUUUUGCCUGAAGCAUUAAUGCUUUUGUCUGACUCUGUCCCUGCCAGAUUUAAUGCCACGCACAUCACUGAUCUCACAUUCAUCAUCCUGCACCACAGGUUGUUCCCUUAACAUCUCCACAUCAUAGCCUCAGUCAGGGACUUUCUGCUGCAGAUAAACUGUGACCGAUACUGUACUGAGGAGUGAAGCGGUGCCUUCGUACUGUGCGUGUUAGGUUAUAACACAGGAAUAGAAUACAGCUACUUUUGUCUUCUCAGCCUAAAAGCAGAACAAGAGAAAGAGAGAAAUGGCAGCAAGAAAAGCAUGCUGCUGUUCUCGUUGAUUCUGCACCGAUUCUGGAGCUUUCCUCCUCUUCCACCUGCUGUCACAGUCUCUGUGCUUAGAGAUCCACAGUUUUCCAACUUUUGCUUUCACCCAGAAACCAGGCCCAGAGUCGGAAAAAGAAUAGUAGUUCAGAUUGAAAUAAGUAGAGGAAAAAUACCUAACAGUCAGAGCUGCUAAUCAACGCCAUGGUCUUACAAAGGAAGAGAUAAUAAUUAUUGAUGGGAAUAUUUAGAAAUACAGUGUAGGAGUCCUGGGGUGAGAUAACAAGGCCCAAUCCCUCCAAAGCCCCCCAGGGAACAAAUGAAGAAGCCUAAUUGGCUUUUUGAUCUCAGACAUCUAAAUUACCCGAAUUGCAUUGUGCAAGUGCAUUCAGCAGAUUGCAUUCAGCAGAUUGCAAACUGGUCAGCCACCAAACCCUGCCACACUGUGCGCUGUGCUUCAAAACUGAACAGCCUGCUGAAACUGAUGAGACAGCUCUCAUCUCUCAGGAGGUCAAACUAGUUGUGUAGGCAUAGGCAGGGGGUCUAUCUGUAGUGGAAAAGCAAAGCAGCAAACAAACAAACAAACAAAACCCAGCAAUAAAACAGUGCCUAUCAAGUUAUAGUUGCACAACCCAGUGCUACUCUGGGCUCCUGGCAAGGCCCCCGUGUUGUUUGCUAUUAUUAACCAUCUUGUGCAAAAACCAACCCAGGAGCCAAGGCAAUGCUAAAGUGGUUACAAAAGUAUUUCACCUGUAGGGUAGACAAAUCGGGAGGUUGCCUUGAACACUCAUUCCUCUGUCAGGCCCAAGGAUUGAGGAUGCAACGCAGUGAGAGCUCACAUUGGGAAGUUUUGUUUCCAACUAAAAGGUCAAACUGAAGAAACUGAUGGACCCAGAGCAGCGCCAAGACAGCUUUCCAAUUUGUUCCAGUUCACUUACAUCCUUGCCAAGGGAAGAAGAAGUUAAUGCCCUGAGAUAAGACCCUCAUCACAAUAUUGUUUAAUUACAUAAGACUUCUAGCGAGCCUGAGAUAAGCGCAGGAAUUUGUCCUCAGUCCAGCUGGGUGCGGCUGCUUAGAUCAUGUUGUGUAUUAGAAUGAGAACUGAAAGCCUGGGUUUAUUCGAGGUGCUUGCCAUAUCAUUACAGCUGGAAUAAAUAAACUGAUACUGACAGCUGAUUUAAAAGUUAUCUUUUUUUUUCAUGUAAGUCAUAGGUGAACAUUUACUAAUAACAGCAGCCAUAAAGUUAUGCAUUGUUUCUCUUCAAGUAGCAUUAGUAACAUUAAUUGGGAUAACUCUGAAAUCAGCAAGCAAAACUUUUAAGUACUCUUUCACCAGGGAAGAGACUGAAGCAGAGGGGUGAAUUGGAUGACCUAAGGCUACAGAAAAAGGGCGUGACUCUGGCUGCAUGAAGCAUUGAACACAACUGCCGUUCAGGAAAAGGAAAAAACAUUUCAGAGAAUGAACAGAAAAAGUUAUAAAACAUUUAAAAAUAUAAAUAACAGCAUGUGAGGAAAUAUUUCUGGAGAAACAGGAUGCGCCUGUAGGUGAAGAAUUCAAACACAAGUGCUGUGCUAAGUAUAAUCAGUAAUGAAAGCUCAGCCCUUCCUCUUAGCAUUUUAGCAAGCUACUUGUUGGCAGCGUUUUCCAAAUAUCAGGGAACAAAAAAAGUGAGCUUUAAGUCUUCAUGCAGUGUAGGAUGCGGUUGUCAUUAUCCUAUAUCCUAUAGCUAUCAAUCUAUUAUGAGACUGCAUCUUGAAUGGGCAGUGGAAUAAAUUCAUAUCUGUUCAACUUAUACAAAGGUCCUUCUUCAUUGAGUGUCUGAGUUUUUCCCUUACAACAUGAAAACAACCUCUCUUCUUCCUGCUCAGGGUAACAACAUGAUCAUUUUAUGGAUCCCAGGGCUGGCCGCAGCCGCUGUGUAUGUGUACAAGGGAGGGGGCCCACACAGCCACGCAGCCUCUUCCCUGCCCCAUGACAUUGAGUGAGCACUGAACUGGGCAAUGCUAAUGGAAAUCUUCACCUCUUAAAGCCCCACAAAAUGUACCCUGUGUUUAAUACUCUUUCUAUUUGCUUGCUUGUUUGCUUUAGUUUUCGGCAUGUCAGGUAUUUACUAUGGCAAAGCCACAGUGAACAGUAAGUUUUUGUGUUUGCUUCCAUUUCCACUGUGGAAAUGAACUCUGUGGACAAGUUCCAGCCGCUGUCAGCCUUGCCUCACACAGCCCCUCAGUAUUGAUCAGUGACCAGUGCAGUUUGGGAGACUGAAAUCGUGCACAGGGUCACGGCCAAAGGCAGUGGAGUUAACCGGAUGCACGUUAACCAUUAACUGGAGGUAAGCAGCGUAAUCAAGGACUUUGAACACAGAAACAGAGGGCCAAAUCUCAAAGGGAUUUUGAUUAGUAAAAAAGAGUUGAAGUUUAGCACCUAAAGGAGUUCAAUUAAUUCAAUAAUUCAGUAAUUCAAAGGAAGAAUAUUCUGUAGUGAGUUAAAUGCCUAAAUUCCCUGUACUUGGGAGAGGAAUAAUUAGGAGCCUAAGGACUUUUGCCCAUGGCUGGUACACUGAGUGGUGAGAUACCUGCAUCAGCCAGCAGGAAAUACCUGGGAGAAAGGGUUAUGUGAGGUUGUCCCUAUGAAACCCUGAUAUGGAACCAAAAAGUGGUUGUUUGUGGCUUUAGGUAAGUCACACAUUUAGCAUAGAUACUUGAAUCAGACUCCUCUGUGGAAAUUUUCCUGGGAGAUAAGCCACCACCUUCGUUUUACAUACUCCCAAGUCCACUUCUGGACCUUUGAACUUACAGGGAGUGCUGUGAGAAACUUUGAGCAUUCAGGGGAAGAAAGGAGAGGACUCUCUGUCCAGUGCCAUAAAGCUGAGCCACUGUGUGACCAGGAGUGCGAAUUGUUGUUCUGGAAUAGGGUGCCUGCCAUCUGCUGUUUGGCCAAAGAGAGACUCCAGAUUGGUGAUAGUCUCCAAGGGUUGUCUUUUACUGUUGAAGGAGAUAGUGAGAAAAGUCAAGUGCUGUAAAUACACAGAACACACACAAGAAGAGUGGAAAGAUACGAAAGAAUGAAGAGAGAACCUGCUUGAGAUAUGAAUAAUCAUCAGAAGGGAAUCAGGAAGAAAUGAGAGCAGAUACACAGACGGGCUUGUGCAGGAACUUAGAGAAGGACGGAGAUGGACAACUGAUGGGCAUCCAACUGCAGAUACCAAAGGCUUAAAGUUGAGACACUGACUUGUGUCAAUUGCAGGUGCUGAAACAGCCAGGCCGACGUCUGUGGGCAUCUGACUGAGCAAUGGCGUGGUGCAUGCGCUCACCAUCCUGAGGCUCGUCAGUGUGACAGGCUGGAGCUGUAGAAGAUAGAGAUGACUCAUGACUGGCGCUUUAUGUAAAUGAAGAACAUCUUCUGUUGCUUCCUGUUGUACCAACGAGGCCACGUAAAGUUCACGUCAGUGACAUUGCGUUCCCAUGUCCCCUGUGUUGUUGGGGUGGGGAUGUGGGGUGAGAUCAGUGUGGUUCCCCCAGAGAGGACAUUAGGUCAAAACCAACAGUGAAUGUGAACGUGAAACCUCUGGAACACCAGGCUGAAGAAUCCUUCCCAGCGGCGAAGUGUAGAGAAAGUUUACUGUUGCCCUUUGCUGUCAGUUGCAAAAGUGAUUGAGCCACUGACUGUAAACUUUGAAGGGGAGCCACAUAAGGAGGAAGUGAAGAAUUUCAGCACAUUGCUCUCUCCUUGGGAUUUAGUCAUUUUUAGUAAGAUGUGUGGGUCAUCUAUGUGUGACAUAGCUAAUCAUCUCAUUUAGCUUAUCCAAAGCAUGAAAAAACAUACCCUUCUGCUGAGCGACAUGAUGUUGCAUGGCCCCUCCCAGCAGCCUCACAUAGGCAGCUAUCCCAUGCAAGAGCGAUGAGGAGGAGUGAAAGCCCUAACGAGCAGUGCAGUGGAACUGUGUCUAUCCAAAGGCACAGAUAAUAUUAGUCCAGGUGGAGGGCCAAAUUCUCUGACUCACUCACAAAAAAAAUCACGCUGAGGUUCACCAAAGACAGUGGAAUUAAUCUAGUGUGAAAAUAAUACGAGAGGACAAUGUCAGACUCCAAAAUGUUGACCUCCUUGGAUUUCUAGGGUGCAGUGACUCAUGUGUGUGUAUAUUGCUCGCAGGGAUAGAGACGCACCCACAGCUCCUGCAGAGGACUGCAGAGAGACAAAAGAUAUGAAAAAAAAAAUGCUAACUAGAUGAUAGGAUUUGUCCUGCAUUGUAUACAUCAUUUAAAAUCAGAAGGAAGAUUUAAUUGAAUUUGGUUGGAAUUUUGCUUGGAUAAGGAAGUAGUAGCUGAAAUGAGAGAUGGAAAGCAUCUCUCACCAGCCCUGAGUUCACAGAAGAGUGGCUCUCUGCAUACUGUGGGUCAUUCUGCUGGGAGAGGUACGGGUGGCUGCCCUCAGAUCGUUCCUGAGCAUUUCUCAGUGCUGUGUAUCCUUACAUCUGAGUCUCCCCCUUUACCUGUAGAUACUGUCUGACUGAAACACGAUGGUUUUCUUCUAAUCCACUGUAAACACUAAAAUUACAGAUCAUACUUUACAGUCAUCCUGAUUUGAUAAUGCUGAAUAUAUUUAGGUCAUUUACUUUUGUCUGUUUUUUUUCCCCCUUUUCUAGCUGAUUCAGGCCUCUGCAUGUGGCAACCAGUCCUACCUAUUUUAACCCUAUUCCUGCUAGCAUUGCAGCUGCAGAACUAAUCCGUGUGCUCUGACUUCCAGAGAAGUCUGCAUUAAACCUCCCAGGCAGGUGCCAAAGUGAUUCAGCUCAUAUUUCUCACUGAUCCUCUAAAGGUUGGUCUUAUGAUGCUAAGAGCUCCUCCAUGAGUUAAGUCCUUCAUAUAUUUUUGCUCUCUCCAUUGCCUGUUCUCCGCUCUGUUCCCCAGUGUAAUGGCUGAUAAUUAUGCACUUUUCAGUGGUUUAUCUCUCUGCCCAUUGAAGCUAGCAUUUUUUUUUUCUCAGCAGAAGGCUGACUCAUAAGGUAUGCUGCCUUCUAUCCUUAGAAAAAGUGAGUCACUAAUGGAUUUUCAUUGUAAAUUCAAGAGCCAUAGACUGAAAUUUUGUCCUCUCAGUCUGGUCCUGAGAUACGGUUUUCAAUUUGGAAUUUUAGUUAUGUGUCAGUAAGGCUCUGUGAGAUUCAAUAGAUGCUGUACCAGUAGCUGUAUUUUAUUGUAUUGUGUGAGCAUCCCCACUAACUGCAAUAGUUCCGCGCUUUCACUCUUUGUGUGCUGUGUGCUUCCUAUCUAAACACAGAACUCCCUUUACAUCUGCAUCAUGAUACAUCCAGCUUCUGUUCUCACCCAUCACAAAGAGUUCACAGUUGUUUUUCUGGGCUAUGUGAAAGCCAAGGGAACUCGGACAUAAAUAAAGUAAUAUGAAUCCCUUUGGUACUAUUGAAAUAGUAGAAACGGUCCAUUUGCUCUAGCAAUGCUAAUUUGGUGAUCUUUCAAACACUCGGUGAAGAUUCACCAGUUCUUACAAUGUCCCAUGACAGAAAGAUAAAUGCUAUUAUUUCUGCUUUGUAAACAAGGGAAUUGAGGUUGGGGCAGUUUAGGUUGUGAUGGGGAGGCCAUGGAAGCACCGUGGAUGAAAUGCAGGAGUCCCAUACAGUUUUUUCAACAGAGCAAUAUUUUGUUUAAAGGAUUUUGCCACAUUUACAGUCGUUGAGUGAUGUCAGCGUGAAUGAGCAUCUGGCAGAAGCUCUGUCAAGUUGUGACAUAAUUUGCAAUUCACAAGAGGGUACCCAUUUUUGCAUAUCCAUGUUGUGCUCUGUUAAACUGGCUUUGCAGGGUAUUUUGGGGAGAGACAUCUCGAGUCUCUCUGACACCAACAGCAGCUGUUACUUAAAACUGUAUGAUGAAGAUGCCAAGGGGUUGCUGUUAGGGUGGUUGCUUUGUUCUUCAUCACACAGGAGUGGAUACACUGCAAUGACAAGUUUGUAAAUCACAGUUAGUUCCGUUCUCACACCACCCAGUAACCUUCCAAUCUCUCUGUCAACUUCCUGCAGGCCUUGGGAAGCUAUAAUUUGUGAUAAAAAUGGGAGUUGAAAUGUUACAUGUAUAUCAGAGCCGAAAAUUUGUGGCUGGAUGACCUUUUCAUUUUCAGCAAACGCACUCAUUUCCUUUGCCUUGCUUACUGUUUUCCUCUGAAGCUCGGCAUAAUAGGAAAUCCUCCACAAUUGUUCUCAUUAAUCAGUGGCUCCAUUGUGCCGGCUGCCGCUCCUUUCGAUGAGCAGCACGGAGCAUCUCGGCCUGCUUCUCAUGGGGAGCACUGUGCCGCCGAGCAUCGGUGUCCCAGGAGCUUGAAUGGUUCAGUUCAGCUGUGAUGGAUGAGAGAACACCACCGGCAACACGUGUGGCAUUCAGAUGGCUGUCAGAAUUAGGAAGCAGGCCCCUCAUUUUCAGUUUAGAGAAAAAGGAGAAACAGGCACCCACUGGAUUUUACAGAGAUAUUUCUCAUGCUUGCGAUUAAGCUUAGGUGAAUAAUGAAAACAAAGAGAUGGUAAAUUUAGAUUUCGCCUCGUUUCCAUACGUGAGGUAAUAUGAUUUGUCAUGUCACUGCCAAUAUUUGCAUAGUCAUCUGACAGUUACACAGAAGGCCUAUGAAUCUCUAGGACAAAUUAUGUCUCUAGAAAUGUAUUCUGAAAUGCCUACUCAUUAGGACUAGCACAUCGUUGUUCAUUUUGGGAUGUGUUUCUCUUUGUCAUCCAGCGAAGGGCCAGAAGUUCUUCAUUGUGGCCAUACAUCACAAACUAUUUUGAAAGAAAAGCUGCAUUUGCAAUAGCUUCAAGUUUCUGAAAUUAAAAGAAAAAAAAAAGGCUAACGUUUCUAAGGUGAUCUGUAAUGCCAACUUAUAUUUGGUAAAGCAUAAACAAAACCAUAGUGACAGAUGGGUGCUCAGGAAGCUGAUGGUUCUCCAAGUCUUAUCUUUUGCUUCCUGUUGCAGCACAGCGGUGUUGACAUCAUGUUCCUGCACAUGCAAUAUGCAAAAAGCUUGGGACUCGUAAUUCAGCAGUUGCAUAAAUAAACAAUUUUGCUCGUUGCUAUUGA
Molecule: long non-coding RNA, 7885 nt
Organism: Gallus gallus (chicken)
Lineage: Eukaryota; Metazoa; Chordata; Aves; Galliformes; Phasianidae
Exons: 5
Source: RefSeq, a predicted model, not a curated record